This is a long non-coding RNA of Homo sapiens (human), 2493 nucleotides long. Lineage: Eukaryota; Metazoa; Chordata; Mammalia; Primates; Hominidae. The record is from Ensembl.
AGAAGAGAAACUCAUGUCAGCCCCAGCCCUGGGGCUACCUGACCUGAUGAAGCCAUUUACACUGUAUGUGGCAGAGUGAAAAGAUGGAAGUUGGGAGUUUUAAUCCAGACGGUGGGGCCCUGGCCAAGACCAGUAGCCUACCUCUCCAAACAGCUAGAUGGAGUUUCUAAAGGUUGGCCCCCAUGUUUGAGGACCUUGGCAGCAACUGCCCUGCUAGCACAAGAAGCAGAUAAACUAACUCUUGGGCAAAACCUGAACAUAAGCACCCCCCAUGCUGUGGUGACUUUAAUGCAUACCAAAGGACAUCAUUGGCUAACAAAUGGUAGACUAACUAAGUACCAAAGCUUGCUCCGUGAAAAUCCCUGCAUAACCAUUGAAGUUUGCAACACCUUGAACUCCACCACCUUACUCCCAGUGUCAGAGAGCCCAGUCGAACGUAACUAUGUAGAGGUGUUGGACACAGUUUAUUCUAGCAGGCCUGACCUCCAAGACCAUCCUUGGACAUCAGUAGACUGGGAGCUGUACAUGGACAGGAGCAGCUUCGUCAACCCACAAGGAGAGAGGUGUGCAGGAUAUGCAGUGGUAACCCUGGAUGCUGUCACUGAAGCCAAAUCAUUGCCCCAGGAUACUUCAGCCCAAAAGGUCAAACUCAUUGCUUUAAUUUGGGCCUUAGAGCUAAGUGAAGGUAAGACUGUAAAUAUUUAUACUGACUCUCGGUAUGCCUUCUUAACCCUCCAAGUGCAUGGGGCAUUAUAUAAAGAAAAAGGCCCAUUGAAAUCUGGGGGAAAAGACAUAAAGUACCAGCAAGAGAUCCUGCAGUUAGUAGAGGCAGUAUGGAAGCCCCAAAAGGUGGCAGUCAUGCAUUGCAGAGGACACCAGCGAGCUUCCACCUCGAUUGCCUUGGGGAACUCCCAAGCUGACUCAGAGGCUUGAAAAGUAGCAUCCACCCCCUUCUGGGCAUCAAUCACAGCCCCCCUAUUCCCUCAGGCACCUGACCUUGUACCUACUUAUUCUAAAGAAGAGAAGGACUUUCUCUAGGCAGAGGGAGGACAGGUGAUAGAAGAGGGAUGGAUCUGGUUAUCGGACAGGAGAAUAGCCAUACCACAACUGCUAGGAGCCGCAGUCAUAUUGGCUAUGCAUGAGACCACGCACAUAGGCCAAGAGCCACUUGAAAAGUUGUUGGGCCAGUUCUUCUACAUCUCACAUCUGUAAGCCUUUGCCAAAACAGUGGUGCAGCAGUGUGUCACCUGCUAGCAGCACAAUGCUAGGCAAGGUCCAACUGUCCCGCCCAGCAUACAAGCUUAUGGAGCAGCCCCCUUUGAAGAUCUCCAAGUAGACUUCACCAAGAUGUCCAAAUGUGGAGGUAACAGGUAUUUGCUAGUUCUAGUGUGUACAUACUCUAGGUGGGUGGAGGCCUAUCCAACACGAACUGGGAAAGCUUGUGAAGUAACCUGUGUGCUUCUCCGAGAUCUCAACCCUACGUUUGGACUGCCCUUACGAAUCAGCUCAGACAAUGGGCUGGUGUUUGUAGCUAGUUGGUACAGAAGACAGCAAAGGUGAUCGGGUAUGGAUCACGGAUUGGAACAUAGCCUCCUUGCAGCCACGGUGGAGAGGACCCCAGACCAUCGUCUUGACCACUCCCACAGCCAUAAAGGUAGAAGGAAUCCCAGCCUGGAUUCACCACAGCCAUGUAAAACCUAAAGCAUCUGAGACCUGGGAGGUGAGACCAAGCUUGGACAACCCAUGCAAGAUGACUUUGAAGAAGAUGACAAGCCCUGCUCCAGUCACACCUGGAAGCUGACUGGUCCGUGCAUGGCUGAAGCAUGAGGAAACUCAUCGUGGGACUCAUUUUCCUAAAAUUUUGGACUUGUACAGUAAGGACUUCAACUGACCUUCCUCAGACUGAGGUAGGGCAAAAAGUUAAAACAGACUUUCUGUUUAAAAGGGACUUGUGUGUAUAAUGCUACCCAGUACAAGAUAUGCAGCCCAAGAAGUGACCAGCUUGAUGUGUGCUAUAACCCAUUGGAACUAGUUUAUCCCUGUUGGAAAACAGAGUAUGUAACUCUAGGAAUUGAUGGAACUGGACUGGAAGACCUGGGUAGUGAAGAUGACAGUGAGAACUCCCACUAGUGAGUGAGAUUCUCAAAGGGGGGAAUGAGAAGUGAGGCCAUUUCUCUUACUGUCUCCUGUCUCUGAAGAGGAGGAGGAAGUAAAAGUUGAAAAACAACAGGAAUGAAGUCAUUGGCAAGACCAGCCGGUGCCACUGAUGACCAGGCCUGAGGUUAAAAGAUCAACCCCCCACUCUAACCACAUGUGCUCUCAAUCUAUCAUGACCCUUUCAUGUGGACCCCCUUAGAGUUGUAAGCCCUUAAAAGGGCCAGGAACUCUGUCUUCAGGGAGCUCGGUUCUUGAGACAUGAGUCUGCCAAAGCUCCCAGCUGUUGAGAUGCGAGUCUGCCAAAGCUCCUGGCCGAAUAAAGCCAAAUCCUUCCUU